UGCAAGUCGAGCGUACCUUCGGGUGAGCGGCGGACGGGUUAGUAACGCGUGGGAACGUACCCUUUUCUACGGAAUAGCCUUUGGAAACGAAGAGUAAUACCGUAUACGCCCUUUGGGGGAAAGAUUUAUCGGAGAAGGAUCGGCCCGCGUUAGAUUAGAUAGUUGGUGGGGUAACGGCCUACCAAGUCUACGAUCUAUAGCUGGUUUUAGAGGAUGAUCAGCAACACUGGGACUGAGACACGGCCCAGACUCCUACGGGAGGCAGCAGUGGGGAAUCUUAGACAAUGGGCGCAAGCCUGAUCUAGCCAUGCCGCGUGAGUGAUGAAGGCCUUAGGGUCGUAAAGCUCUUUCGCCUGUGAUGAUAAUGACAGUAGCAGGUAAAGAAACCCCGGCUAACUCCGUGCCAGCAGCCGCGGUAAUACGGAGGGGGUUAGCGUUGUUCGGAAUUACUGGGCGUAAAGCGCACGUAGGCGGAAUGGAAAGUUGGGGGUGAAAUCCCGGGGCUCAACCCCGGAACUGCCUCCAAAACUAUCAGUCUAGAGUUCGAGAGAGGUGAGUGGAAUUCCAAGUGUAGAGGUGAAAUUCGUAGAUAUUUGGAGGAACACCAGUGGCGAAGGCGGCUCACUGGCUCGAUACUGACGCUGAGGUGCGAAAGUGUGGGGAGCAAACAGGAUUAGAUACCCUGGUAGUCCACACCGUAAACGAUGAAUGCCAGUCGUCGGGCAGUAUACUGUUCGGUGACACACCUAACGGAUUAAGCAUUCCGCCUGGGGAGUACG
This 779-nucleotide ribosomal RNA is filed under the name uncultured Alphaproteobacteria bacterium. RNAcentral describes it as "bacterial SSU rRNA". It matches the Rfam family "Bacterial small subunit ribosomal RNA", at positions 56 to 884 of the family's 1533-position model. Lineage: Bacteria; Pseudomonadati; Pseudomonadota; Alphaproteobacteria. The record is from RNAcentral.